UCCGAGUUGACCCCGGCAGUCUCCCAUGAGUCCCCGCCAUAACGCGCUGGCAACAUGGAACGAGGGUUGCGCUCGUUGCGGGACUUAACCCAACAUCUCACGACACGAGCUGACGACAGCCAUGCAGCACCUGUGCACGCUCCCGAAGGUCGGUUGGGUUUCCCCGCCCUACCACGUGCAUGUCAAACCCAGGUAAGGUUCUUGGCGUUGCGUCCAAUUAAACCACAUGCUCCGCUGCUUGUGCGGGCCCCCGUCAAUCCCUUUGAGUUUUAAUCUUGCGACCGUACUCCCCAGGCGGAAUGCUUAAUGCGUUAGCUGCGCCACCGACGAGCAAGCUCGCCAACGGCUGGCAUUCAUCGUUUACGGCGUGGACUAC
Molecule: unclassified non-coding RNA, 376 nt
Filed under: uncultured bacterium
Lineage: Bacteria
Description: contains 16S-23S intergenic spacer region
Source: RNAcentral